CCUUCAUUCCGAUCCUGCAGGUCAGACCACCCCUGGGUCUGAUUCCCUGUCUGGUCCCUCCCCAGGCCCUCUGGACGACAGAGGCCACAGCAGCAGGUUAGUGACCCCAUCAGCCUCCAUCCUGCACGUCUAGGAAGGGCCGUGGGAUUCCCUCUUCUGUUCACCACAGAGCCUUCUCCUCAUGUCUCAGCCCCCAAGGCAGUCAGAAUCCUGAGUGCGGAGGCUCGGACCUCCAGCUCCAUCACCCUGAGCUGGGCAGCCCCAAGGACCCAGACCUGCAGACUUCCAUCUACUGGGUCCGAGGGGCGGGCAUAACCAGCGGGAACACAAGCACGUCAGACUGCUGGCUAGGGGUGGAGGGACUUCAGCCUGAGACCCUCUACACCUUCUCUGUGUGGGCCGAGAGGAAAGGAAUAGGUGGCCCUAGGGACGUCCUGAGCAUGUCCACAGUCCCUGGCCUGGUCACGCAGGCUCAGACCACCAGCUCCCUCACCCUGAGGCCCCUACAGGCCCAGACCCCAAGACCUGCCCCUACUGGCUCCACUGGGCCAGUGACUCCUCAGACAUCAGGGUGCCUGUGGAGGGCCUGACUGCAGGGACCAGCAUGUGAAGCAGUAGCAUGAGGUCAACAGCCCCGGCCAGAUGCUCACAGAGGCCACAGGUGAGAGGCGAGAGCACCCGGGCUUGGGGAGUAAGGCCUCUGGCUUCUGGGCUCCACUGAUAGGGUGCGUGCCUCCAUAACAAGAAGGGCUGUGGGAAGGAGGGGAUGCUUCCCUUGGCUCUGGAGGCCCGGGGACUAUGGCGUGUGGUCUGUGAAGCAGGUUCCCUGUGCACUGGUUACCAACUUACCAGAGCCCGAUGAGACAGAACGCCACACAUGCAAAAAGUUACGUGAAGUGGGUUUGUUCCUCACAGAUGGGCAGCAAGGGACAGGAUCCAUUGUGAGCUGAUCCCCCAAGGCUUAGGAAAGUGGCCUAGGCAGGAUAGGGUCACAAUUGUGUGUGUCUCACUUGUAUGGCAGUUGAGGGACUCCAAAAAGUACCCAGCCCUGGGUUUUCUACUCUGGGUGAAACCUGAGUCACUGGGCUCAAGCAUUGAAGGGCAUUCUGUCUCUAGGGUAGGCGGGAAUGGAGCCCAGGCUGCCUGGCCGGUCCCUCCAUAUCUCGGGAUGUUGCAUUCCCAGCACAUUCUACAGUUACUUUUGAGAACUACAAGAGACAACUGGGUCUGUUUAAGGCCACUCAGAGAACCUUCCUGCAGGAACCCUGACCCCCUUCCCUUCCUUUCCUUGCCCGGUCAGGUCGUGGAUCUGAGGAUACAGGCUUAGACCCGAGUUCUGUGACACUAAGGUGUAUAUCCCAUGGGCCCAGACCCCCACACCUACACCUACUGGGUCCAGUGGGCAGGGACCACAGUCCCCAGUGGGACCAGAAAUGUGGCAGAGAGGGAGUCGUGGUGGAGGCCCUGGAAUCUGGGGCUUCAUAAACCUUCAUUGUGUGGGCUGAAAGGUGCGGUGGCUCACGCCUGUAAUCCCUGCACUUUGGGAGGCCAAGGUGGGCAGAUGACCUGAGGUCAGGAGUUCAAGACCAACCUGGCCAACAUGAUGAAACCCUGUCUCUACUACAAAUACAAGAAAAUUAGCUGGAUGUGGUGGUGCAUGCCUGUAAUCCCAGCUACUCAGGAGACUGAGGCAGGAGAAUCGCUUGAACACGGGAGGUGGAAGUUGCAGUGAGCCAAGAUUGCGCCACUGCACUCCAGCCUGGGUGACCAGAGCAAAACUCCGUCUCCAAAAAUAAAUAGCCAGACAUGGUGGCUCACGGCUGUAAUCCCAGCACUUUGGGAGGCCAAGGCAGGCAGAUCACCAGGUCAGGAGUUCAAGACCAGCCUGGACAACAUGAUGCAACCCCAUCUCUACUAAAAAUACAAAAAUUAGCCGGGCAUGGUGGCACAUGACUGUAAUCUCAGCUACUCGAGAGCCUGAGGCAGGAGAAUCGCUUCAAUUCGGGAACUAGAGGUUUCAGUGAGCCUAGAUCGUGCCAUUGCACUCUAGCCUGGGUGACAAAGUGAGACUCUGUCUCAAAUAGCCUGGUGUGGUGGCUCACAUGCAAUCCAACACUUUGGGAGGCCAUGGCGGGCGGAUCACCUGAGGUAGGGAGUUGGACACCAGCCUGACCAACAUGGAGAAACCCCGUCUCUACUAAAAAUAUAUAACUAGCCGGGUGUGGUGGCACAUGCCUGUAGAAUCGCUUGAACCCAGGAGGCGGAGGUUGUGGUGAGCCGAGAUCACACCACUGCACUCCAGCCUGGGCAACAAGAGCAAAACUCCGUCUCAAAAAUAAAUUUUCUGCAUCUUAGCAGGUUCUCCUGCCUCCUCUCCAGUUUGUACCCGCCUUCCCCAAGAGUGGCCAGUCUCCUGAUCUUUAUCACCGUAAAUUAGUGUAGUCUGUCCUUGAACCUUCUCUAAGGGGAAUUAUACAGUAUAUAGUUAUUUGAUCCUGGCUUUCUUCACUCAACACUGUGGAUGAAGUGUGGGUCCAUGCUGUGUGUUUUUAUUUUUAUUGCUGUGUAGUAUUUAUCAUAUGAAUGUAUUGCAAUUUAUUGUUUCAUCCCUCUCUUCAUGAACAUUUUGUAUUUCUAGUUUUGGGCUCCUAUAAAUAAAGCUACCAUGAACAUUUCUGUCCAUGUCUUUUGGAGCACACAGAAAGUUCUUUCUCUCAGGUGUCUGCCUAGCAGUGGAAUUGCUCAGUGAUGAUAUAUGUACCUUUAGCUUUCAUGGUUACUGACCAACCAUUUCUCAAAGCAGCUUCCCAGGUUACCAUCCUGCCAGCAAUGUGAGGAAGCUUCAUUUGCCCCAUAUACUUGCAAAUAGUUGGUUGUUCGUCUUUUCCAUUUUAGUUAUGCUGCUGCAGUGUUUUGAUACUUCCUUGUGGUUUAAUUUCCAUAAUGACUAAUGAAGUUGAACACCUUCCCAUUUGUGUGCGUGUGUGUGUGUGUGUGGCCAUUUGGAUAUCCUUCUUGGUAAAAUGUCUCUUCAAGUCCAUUGCCCAUUAAAUGGGUCUUCUGCCUCCCUUAAUUUGUAGGAAGCCUUUGAAAAUAUAAAGGGUACAGCUCUUUUGUCAGAUGUUUGUGUCACUAAAGCGUCAUCAUGGCCUAGUUUUUUUUUUUUUGAGAUGGAGUCUCGCUCUGUCACCAGGCUGGGGUGCAGUGGCGCCAUCUUGGCUCACUGCAAGCUCCGCCUCCUGGGUUUACACCAUUCUCCUGCCUCAGCCUCCCCAGCAGCUGGGACUACAGGUGCCCACCACCAUACCGGCUAAUUUUUUGUAUUUUUAGUGAGGCGGGGGUUUCACGGUAUUAGCCAGGAUGGUCUCGAUCUUCUGACCUUGUGAUCUGCCCACCUCGGCCUCCCAAAGUGCUGGGAUUACAGGCAUGAGCCACCACACCCAGCAAUGGCCUAGUUUUAACUCAGGGCUCUGCUAAAUCGCGUGGGAUCACAGGUGUGGAAGGGUUUGCUUUCCGAGAGGACUGCAGAGAUUUCCGCCACUCCCUGCUCCAGCCUUCCUUUCUCUCACAGAAACAAAUGUAGGGAGUCUGUUCUCCUGCGGAGUCCAGGGUUGCUGGAGAACUGAGAAGGGCUGUGCCAUGGUUUCUUCUCAGCACCAGGAGACUGGGUUUUCCCUGAGAAUGACAGACUUGUCAGGUGCGCCCCUCACAAACGUGUAUUCAGCACCGAGGACAGCGAUCCCAGGAGCCGCCAGAGCCUAGAGGCCCAGAAAUGGCUGCAAAUGGGCGGAACCAGGCUCUCUGUCCACCUCUUCCUCCGUGAUCUGGGGUUGAGCGUUCCUUGCUUUCUGCUGUGGUUUCACCCUCAGCUUCGACUUUAACAAUAGCAUAAGAUGAUCGGUAAAUACCUAAAAUGGAGACCUGAUCAAGGAAGGGAGAGGUGGGGACACGUGUGUGUGAGUUCUGGGAAGCCUUUAGGACAACUUCACCCCUCACCUGGGUACCCUGAUGAGCAUGGUCGGGAGGAGCCCCACGGUCUGCCUUCCUUCACUUCCUUAUUCCAGGACACUGGCAAAAAUGAUGUGGUCCAGUGUGCCCCGCAGUAGCUGGCCUCUGUUGGAUGUUUCUUGCCUGUGAGAUGACUAAGAGCUGUGGCUCCUGGUCUUUCUACCUCCUCAGUUCUGACCAGGAACACAGAAAGGUCUCUAGCACCCUUGGAUCCUGGAAGGGGAAAAGGCAGGAACUCCACAGUCCUUUCCCCUGAGCUACCAAAGCAUUCUUCCCCUGCCCCAAGCCAGCGUCAUUUGGGGAAUGGAGCUGAGAAAACUUACUCUGGGUGUGGAAGAAGGAAUUAACCAAACCCAGUGCUCCCUGGGUUCUGAGCAGUGGGGUGGGAUUGUGCCAUAGUUUUGAAUUAAGACUUUGAAAGCACUUUGGGGCCAGGCGUGGUGGCUCAUGCCGGUAAUCCAACACUUUGGGAGGCUGAGGCGGGAGGACCACGAGGUCAGGAGAUUGAGACCAUCCUGGCUAACACGGUGAAACCCGUUUCUACUAAAACACAAAAAUCAAAAAAUUAGCGGGCCUGGUGGAGGGGCCUGUAGUUCCAGCUACUUGGGAGGCUGAGGCGGGAGAGCAGUGAACCUGGGAGGUGGAGCUUGCAGUGAGCUGAGAUGGCACCACUGCACUCCAGCCUGGGUGACAGAGCGAGACCCCAUCUCGAAGAAAAAAAAAAAAACCAAACCAAAAAAAAAAAACCCUUUGGGAG
Long non-coding RNA from Macaca fascicularis (crab-eating macaque), 4765 nucleotides. The record is from Ensembl. NCBI's taxonomy places the organism in Eukaryota, Metazoa, Chordata, Mammalia, Primates, Cercopithecidae.